AGUGGGAUUGAUGGAUCAUACGGUAGUUCUAUUUUUAAUUUUUUAAGGAACCAGCAUACUGUUUGCCAUAAUGGCAGCAGCAAACUGCAUUCCUGGG
Vicugna pacos (alpaca) is the source of this 97-nucleotide non-coding RNA. The record is from RefSeq and is a predicted model, not a curated record. Lineage: Eukaryota; Metazoa; Chordata; Mammalia; Artiodactyla; Camelidae.